GCAAGUCGAACGAGAAGCUCUAGCUUGCUCGAGUGGAUAGUGGCGAAAGGGUGAGUAACGCGUGAACAAUUUGCCCCUAAGAUGGGAAUAGCCUCGGGAAACUGGGAUUAAUACCGAAUGUGGUCUUCUGUCGCAUGACAGAAUGACUAAACAUUUAUUGCUUAGGGAUGAGUUCGCGUUCCAUUAGCUUGUUGGUGGGGUAACGGCCUACCAAGGCGACGAUGGAUAGCUGGUCUGAGAGGAUGAUC
Molecule: ribosomal RNA, 248 nt
Filed under: uncultured bacterium
Lineage: Bacteria
Description: partial 16S ribosomal RNA
Rfam family: Bacterial small subunit ribosomal RNA
Source: RNAcentral